GUCUACGGCCAUACCACCCUGAACGCGCCCGAACUCGUCUGAUCUCGGAAGCUAAGCAGGGUCAGGCCUGGUUAGUACUUGGAUGAGAGAAAAGACAGAACAUUGAAGCAC
This 111-nucleotide ribosomal RNA is filed under the name Octodon degus (degu). The record is from RNAcentral. Lineage: Eukaryota; Metazoa; Chordata; Mammalia; Rodentia; Octodontidae.